UGGGGAAUAUUGCGCAAUGGGCGAAAGCCUGACGCAGCGACGCCGCGUGAGGGAUGAAGGUUUUCGGAUCGUAAACCUCUGUCGGAAGGGAAGAAGUUGCAUCGUGCUAAUCAGCGGUGCAUUGACGGUACCUUCAAAGGAAGCACCGGCUAACUCCGUGCCAGCAGCCGCGGUAAUACGGAGGGUGCGAGCGUUAAUCGGAAUUACUGGGCGUAAAGGGCGCGUAGGCUGUAUUGUAAGUCAGGGGUGAAAUCCCACGGCUCAACCGUGGAACCGCCCUUGAUACUGCAAAACUAGAAUCCGGGAGAGGGCGGCGGAAUUCCAGGUGUAGGAGUGAAAUCCGUAGAUAUCUGGAGGAACAUCAGUGGCGAAGGCGGCCGCCUGGACCGGUAUUGACGCU
This 400-nucleotide ribosomal RNA is filed under the name uncultured bacterium. RNAcentral describes it as "bacterial SSU rRNA". It matches the Rfam family "Bacterial small subunit ribosomal RNA", at positions 355 to 747 of the family's 1533-position model. The record is from RNAcentral.